This 448-nucleotide ribosomal RNA is filed under the name uncultured bacterium. Its description in RNAcentral is "SSU rRNA". It matches the Rfam family "Bacterial small subunit ribosomal RNA", at positions 26 to 518 of the family's 1533-position model. The record is from RNAcentral.
AGAACGAACGCUGGCGGCAGGCCUAACACAUGCAAGUCGAACGCCUUAGCAAUAAGGAGUGGCAGACGGGUGAGUAACACGUGGGAACGUACCCUUCGGUUCGGAAUAACUCAGGGAAACUUGUGCUAAUACCGGAUACGAUCGCGAGAUGAAAGAUUUAUCGCCGAAGGAUCGGCCCGCGUCUGAUUAGCUAGUUGGUGAGGUAAUGGCUCACCAAGGCGACGAUCAGUAGCUGGUCUGAGAGGAUAACCAGCCACAUUGGGACUGAGACACGGCCCAAACUCCUACGGGAGGCAGCAGUGGGGAAUAUUGGACAAUGGGCGCAAGCCUGAUCCAGCCAUGCCGCGUGAGUGAUGAAGGCCUUAGGGUUGUAAAGUCUACUUUUACUCGGGAAGAUAGUGACGGUACCGAGAGAAUAAGCCCCGGCUAACUUCGUGCCAGCAGCCGC